Molecule: ribosomal RNA, 137 nt
Filed under: uncultured bacterium
Lineage: Bacteria
Description: partial 16S ribosomal RNA
Rfam family: Bacterial small subunit ribosomal RNA
Source: RNAcentral
UGGGGAAUAUUGCACAAUGGGGGAAACCCUGAUGCAGCGACGCCGCGUGAGCGAUGAAGUAUUUCGGUAUGUAAAGCUCUAUCAGCAGGGAAGAAAAUGACGGUACCUGACUAAGAAGCCCUGGCUAACUACGUGCC